Molecule: ribosomal RNA, 422 nt
Filed under: uncultured bacterium
Lineage: Bacteria
Description: bacterial SSU rRNA
Rfam family: Bacterial small subunit ribosomal RNA
Source: RNAcentral
GAAUCUUGGGCAAUGGGCGCAAGCCUGACCCAGCCAUGCCGCGUGUGUGAAGAAGGCCCUCGGGUUGUAAAGCACUUUCAGUGGCGAAGAAAAGCGUGGGACCAAUACUCCCACGUCUUGACGUUAGCUACAGAAGAAGCACCGGCUAACUCCGUGCCAGCCGCCGCGGUAAUACGGAGGGUGCGAACGUUAAUCGGAAUUACUGGGCGUAAAGCGCACGUAGGCGGUUCGCUAAGUGGGAUGUGAAAGCCCUGGGCUCAACCUGGGAAUUGCAUUUCAGACUGGCGGACUAGAGUACGGUAGAGGGCGGUGGAAUUCCCUGUGUAGCGGUGAAAUGCGUAGAUAUAGGGAGGAGCAUCAGUGGCGAAGGCGGCCGCCUGGACUGAUACUGACGCUGAGGUGCGAAAGCGUGGGGAGCAAAC